Molecule: ribosomal RNA, 253 nt
Filed under: uncultured bacterium
Lineage: Bacteria
Description: partial 16S ribosomal RNA
Rfam family: Bacterial small subunit ribosomal RNA
Source: RNAcentral
UACGAAGGGUCCAAGCGUUAUCCGGAUUUAUUGGGUUUAAAGGGUGCGUAGGCGGGUUGUUAAGUCAGUGGUGAAAUCUUGCAGCUUAACUGUAAAAUUGCCAUUGAUACUGACGAUCUUGAGUACACUUGAAGUGGGCGGAAUAUGUCAUGUAGAGGUGAAAUCCUUAGAGAUGACAUAGAACACCGAUUGCGAAGGCAGCUCACUAAAUUGUAACUGACGCUGAGGCACGAAAGCGUGGGGAUCAAACAGG